CUAGAAAUAUAAAUAUAAUAUAUAAUAAAACCUGACGCACUUAGUCGCCCGUAAAGAAAAAGACAAGAGUAAUGAAUUGAGAACCAUGCGUCUUUGAAUAUAACUAGAAUAACUAGAAUACUGCGCGUUCAACUUUUUUUGACGCGCAUGUGCGUCUGGGAGAAGAAUCUAGUAACAUUGUAUUCUUAUACGUUAUCUACUUUUGUUGCAAGAAUUCGUUUUAAUACCAAGUCCUUUGUAAGGAUUGGUUAUCUUUUUAUUAUCAAACCAUUUGAAAGGAUUACAUUUGGUUAUCGUUUUAGUCUCAAGUCCUUUAGCAGGAUUAAAUUUGGUUAUUGAUUGAAUAUUCAAAUUCAACUAAGUGAAAUACACUCGAUAGCCUGCAUUGCGCCGUGUUUCGAGUAUAACAUAUAAUAAAAAAUAAAUCAUAUACUCUUAUAAUAUCACUCGAUAGGCUGCAUUGCACCGUGUUUCGAGUAUAGCGUAUUAUAAAAAAUAAAGUUCAUUAAAAACACA
Long non-coding RNA from Hylaeus volcanicus, 516 nucleotides. RefSeq lists it as uncharacterized. The transcript has 3 exons. Lineage: Eukaryota; Metazoa; Arthropoda; Insecta; Hymenoptera; Colletidae. The record is from RefSeq and is a predicted model, not a curated record.